CGGGUAACAGAGUGAGGCGGACCCCCGCCGAGGGUGAGCGAAGCNCAAAAAAGACCGUCCCAGUUCGGAUUGUAGUCUGCAACCCGACUACAUGAAGCUGGAAUCGCUAGUAAUCGCAGGUCAGCAUACUGCGGUGAAUACGUUCCCGGGUCUUGUACACACCGCCCGUCACACCAUGGGAGCCGGAAAUGCCCGAAGCCAGUGACCCAACCUUAGGGAGGGAGCUGUCGAAGGUGGAGCCGGUAACUGGGGUGAAGUCGUAACAAGGUAAC
This 272-nucleotide ribosomal RNA is filed under the name uncultured bacterium. RNAcentral describes it as "partial 16S ribosomal RNA". It matches the Rfam family "Bacterial small subunit ribosomal RNA", at positions 1234 to 1500 of the family's 1533-position model. The record is from RNAcentral.